ACAUUCGUGGUCGAGUGGUUAAGGCAAUGGACUAAAAAUUCAUUGGGGUCUCCCCGCACAGGUUCAAAUCCUGUCGACUGCG
Molecule: transfer RNA, 82 nt
Filed under: Ixodes scapularis (black-legged tick)
Lineage: Eukaryota; Metazoa; Arthropoda; Arachnida; Ixodida; Ixodidae
Description: tRNA-Phe
Rfam family: tRNA
About the family: Transfer RNA (tRNA) molecules are approximately 80 nucleotides in length. Their secondary structure includes four short double-helical elements and three loops (D, anti-codon, and T loops). Further hydrogen bonds mediate the characteristic L-shaped molecular structure. tRNAs have two regions of fundamental functional importance: the anti-codon, which is responsible for specific mRNA codon recognition, and the 3' end, to which the tRNAs corresponding amino acid is attached (by aminoacyl-tRNA synthetases). tRNAs cope with the degeneracy of the genetic code in two manners: having more than one tRNA (with a specific anti-codon) for a particular amino acid; and 'wobble' base-pairing, i.e. permitting non-standard base-pairing at the 3rd anti-codon position.
Source: Rfam by way of RNAcentral